This is a long non-coding RNA of Triticum aestivum (bread wheat), 2521 nucleotides long. RefSeq lists it as uncharacterized. NCBI's taxonomy places the organism in Eukaryota, Viridiplantae, Streptophyta, Magnoliopsida, Poales, Poaceae. The record is from RefSeq and is a predicted model, not a curated record. The transcript is spliced from 5 exons.
AGCCCUCGCGCCUCCCCCUGACCGCCGCCCGUGCGUGGCCGGUCCAAUCCACCACCACGCCGCACGCGGCUGCUCAGAGAGGCCGAGGCCGAGAUGCCGGCCUCACCGGCGUCACCGCCGCCUCCUCCCUCCCACCCCGCGCGCAACACCUCGCACUCGAUCCACCCAUCCCGAUGCCUCGGCCUCGGCGCGCCUUUACCCUCCUCAUUUUCGCCCUUCGUCCCCGCGGCAGACGAAGACGGCGCAUCUCGAGCGCGUUCCCUGGCGGGUGUGCCGGCGGGGACGCAGAUGGUGCUUCUGAGGAAGAGGAACGGGGCGGAGGACGCGCCGCUGAUGCUGCCAGUCCUGGAUGGGGAUCUCCGAGCCAGUCUUGCUCCAGUUCUGCUUCGACAGUACUUCACCUUGACUUGCUGAUUGUUAUGGGGAGGUUCUAUGUGGAAGUGGCUUACUUGCAUCUUCUGUAGGAUACUGUCCAAGAUCAAAGGAAAUUUCAGUUAUAUAGAGAGCAAGGAGACCCCUGCAAACUUAUACUGCUUUGGGUGGUGUGCACUUGGGAUACUGUUAAACCCAGUAGGGAUUGGGGAGGGCCUUCAAAGUUUGUGUGAAGGAGGCACACCACCAAGGUUUCUGAUCUGAUGGUUGGCAGGAAAUAGUUGAUGAUUUCAAGUAAGUGGAUGAAGCUCUCCUUGAAGUGAUCGUGUCUGCAGAGUGGCCGUUGAUCUGAAGGAUUGACUUGUUGACACCACCAAUGUGUACUACGCAGGUUGAUCUGAAGGUUUGACUUAUUGUUAGGUAGAAGUUCAAAGUUUUGAUACUUGCACCUGCAUUAGCUUGAAUCCUUCAGAAUUAGUGUCUUUAUAGAGAUACAAGCUGCACAAGCCUUUCCAUGGUCCACAGUAAUUUCUCCCUGAACCCAAGCAAGCCUCUAAAUUAGAAUAGAAAGUUGCAUAAGCAACAAACUUCUAAAUUCCUCUAUCUUGUAUCACAAAUAGUGGGUACAUGUACAAUACCGUUGGACCUCAUUUUUUUAUAGAAAAACCACUCGUGACCCUGCUUUAUUUGAUUGAUUUGUAAGAGUUCAGACUAGAAGACUUAUAGAGAGGUAUACUGGGAUUACCAAUUUUAGUUAUGAAACAUAUCAAAGUAGAAACCAGGAAUACACAACUCCAUGGUCCACUCACUCAAAACCACAGAAAAGGAUUUGCCUUACACCACAUCAGCCAUUUUCCUUUAGCCUGCUACCUAUCCCUUCCACAAUCAUUGCUAGUGAGACUUUUGUUUUUGUUCAAAAUUAAAAAAUCAACUCAGAAUUUUGUUGCGGCUUUAACAUUUAUACCAUGCGAGAAUUAAUAUCCGCAGAAGAAUUUCAAUUAUCAGUCUAGAAUUACCUCAUAAAGUGCUGGAUUAUUAUCUAACAAUCGUACAUCAACCAAUGACGAGACGUCAAAAUCCGGACACACCCAUUACAUCAACCAAGUGGGCAGUACAUAGUUUUGUUAUCCGUUGCAAUGCACGAGUUCUUCAAGUAUUUGUCUCAUUAGGGCUUCUGUAUACAUGUCUUGAACAAGAUAGUCUAUUGGAGAAGAAGGUUUCCUGAAUGCAAUUUGGUGGUUCCUUCAUUGCCAUCUCGGCCUACUGCUUCUUCUCAUGUCCUCCCUCUUCUUUCUAUUACCACCACCUCUCUUGUCUGCAGCUGCACCACGUCGCCUCCUGAUGUCGGCGUCGCCGCUGCUACCGGUCCCCGGAUCAGGGUGUUGAUCACCACUUUCCAUUUCCAUGGAGCUCGUGCUCGUUGUGUCCGUAGCACUCUGGUCACUGAGCGCAUGGAUAGGGUUCAUCUUGUCCAGCAAAAGUUCUGGCAAGGUACACUUGUCAUCGUCAUCUUCAUCUUCGUGUGAAUAACAUGGAGUUGCUUCCACCACAGCGUCUGAGCCUCCUGUCCCGCCCAUUCCAUCACCAUGGACAUCUACGGGUAUGUUCUCUGCCGGCAACUUAUGCUUUUCUGAAUCAAGGAAUCCAGUGCUUGUCAUCAAUGGAUUCCCCGGCAACACACCAUCUUCGGUGUUGCCCUCAGCUGCUCCACCAUCACUCUCGAUGCUCAUGAAUUCAUCGGUGGACUUCUCAUCGCAGCCGGUUUCACCCAGGGCAUGUUUAUCGCUCGAAGUAUCCGGUGUGUCGUUCUGAUCUAAACUGGUGACAUUAUCAUCGGUCUCCUCAUCUCUUCCUUGAGCAUUCCUUCCCACAUCAACUCCUCCAACGUUGAACACAUCUUCACCACUUUGAACAGUUGCUUCUUUUUCUUGUGAACUGGAGCUAUCUACUCCACCUCCCACCAGCGCUUGGACUGCCCGUUUCGCGGCAUUGGUAGCCCAUGCCUCUUCAUGGAUGGUAUCACUGUUGCAUAUGCAGCAUAGACAUAAAUAAACAAUGUGUAAUUUGACCGCUGAGAUAUUUAGGGAAGUGAGCUCUGAACUGUUAAUUGUUACCUCUUCACACUGGGUUCCAAAGAUGAUAUUUUCUC